Molecule: ribosomal RNA, 256 nt
Filed under: uncultured bacterium
Lineage: Bacteria
Description: partial 16S ribosomal RNA
Rfam family: Bacterial small subunit ribosomal RNA
Source: RNAcentral
UACGUAGGGAGCAAGCGUUGUCCGGAAUCAUUGGGCGUAAAGCGCGCGUAGGCGGCCCCGUAAGUCCGCUGUGAAAGUCAAAGGCUCAACCUCGUGGAAGCUGGUAAUACUGUCAGGCUCGAGUGCAGGAGAGGUUAACGGAACUCCAUGUGGAGCGGUAAAAUGUGUAGAUAUAUGGAAGAACACCAAUAACGGCGAAGGCAGUUAACUAUUCUGUUACUGACAUUGAGGCACGAAAGCGUGGGGAGCAAAACGG